GGCCGACUAGCUCAGUUGGUUAGAGCGUCGUGCUAAUAACGCGAAGGUCGUGGGUUCGACCCCCCCGUUGGCCA
Pisolithus microcarpus 441 is the source of this 74-nucleotide transfer RNA. It matches the Rfam family "tRNA". Rfam says of the family: Transfer RNA (tRNA) molecules are approximately 80 nucleotides in length. Their secondary structure includes four short double-helical elements and three loops (D, anti-codon, and T loops). Further hydrogen bonds mediate the characteristic L-shaped molecular structure. tRNAs have two regions of fundamental functional importance: the anti-codon, which is responsible for specific mRNA codon recognition, and the 3' end, to which the tRNAs corresponding amino acid is attached (by aminoacyl-tRNA synthetases). tRNAs cope with the degeneracy of the genetic code in two manners: having more than one tRNA (with a specific anti-codon) for a particular amino acid; and 'wobble' base-pairing, i.e. permitting non-standard base-pairing at the 3rd anti-codon position. The record is from Rfam. NCBI's taxonomy places the organism in Eukaryota, Fungi, Basidiomycota, Agaricomycetes, Boletales, Pisolithaceae.